This 68-nucleotide transfer RNA is filed under the name marine eukaryotic metagenome. It matches the Rfam family "tRNA". From Rfam's summary of the family: Transfer RNA (tRNA) molecules are approximately 80 nucleotides in length. Their secondary structure includes four short double-helical elements and three loops (D, anti-codon, and T loops). The record is from RNAcentral.
GGGAAUAGCUCAGUCGGUAGAGCGCAAGCUUGCCAAGCUUGAGGUCGCGAGUUCGAACCUCGUUUCCC